UGGGCGCAAGCCUGAUCCAGCUAUUCCGCGUGUGGGAAGACGGCCUUCGGGUUGUAAACCACUUUUGUAGAGAACGAAAAGUCUAUUGAUAAUACCGAUAGAUGAUGACGGUACUCUAAGAAUAAGCACCGGCUAACUACGUGCCAGCAGCCGCGGUAAUACGUAGGGUGCGAGCGUUAAUCGGAAUUACUGGGCGUAAAGGGUGUGCAGGCGGUUUUGCAAGAUGGAUGUGAAAGCCCCGGGCUUAACCUGGGAAAGCCAUACAUGACUGCAAGACUAGAGUGCGUCAGAGGGGGGUGGAAUUCCAAGUGUAGCAGUGAAAUGCGUAGAUAUUUGGAAGAACACCGAUGGCGAAGGCAGCCCCCUGGGACGCAACUGACGCUCAUACACGAAAGCGUGGGGAGCAAACAGGAUUAGAUACCCUGGUAGUCCACGCCCUAAACGAUGUCAACUAGUUGUUGGGAGGUAAAACUUCA
Molecule: ribosomal RNA, 476 nt
Filed under: uncultured bacterium
Lineage: Bacteria
Description: bacterial SSU rRNA
Rfam family: Bacterial small subunit ribosomal RNA
Source: RNAcentral